This 72-nucleotide transfer RNA is filed under the name Pangasianodon hypophthalmus (striped catfish). It matches the Rfam family "tRNA". From Rfam's summary of the family: Transfer RNA (tRNA) molecules are approximately 80 nucleotides in length. Lineage: Eukaryota; Metazoa; Chordata; Actinopteri; Siluriformes; Pangasiidae. The record is from Rfam by way of RNAcentral.
UCCCUGGAGGACUAGUGGUUAGGUCAUGGGACUUUCACUGCCAUGGCCCAGGUUUGAUUCCUGGCCAGGGAC